RNAcentral lists this ribosomal RNA (431 nucleotides) under uncultured marine bacterium. RNAcentral describes it as "bacterial SSU rRNA". It matches the Rfam family "Bacterial small subunit ribosomal RNA", at positions 29 to 506 of the family's 1533-position model. The record is from RNAcentral.
AACGAACGCUGGCGGCAGGCCUAACACAUGCAAGUCGAGCGCACCUUCGGGUGAGCGGCGGACGGGUUAGUAACGCGUGGGAACGUACCCUUCUCUGCGGAAUAGCCUCUGGAAACGGAGAGUAAUACCGCAUACGCCCUUCGGGGGAAAGAUUUAUCGGAGAGGGAUCGGCCCGCGUUAGAUUAGGUAGUUGGUGGGGUAACGGCCUACCAAGCCUACGAUCUAUAGCUGGUUUUAGAGGACGAUCAGCAACACUGGGACUGAGACACGGCCCAGACUCCUACGGGAGGCAGCAGUGGGGAAUCUUGGACGAUGGGCGCAAGCCUGAUCCAGCCAUGCCGCGUGAGUGACGAAGGCCCUAGGGUCGUAAAGCUCUUUCGCCAGGGAUGAUAAUGACAGUACCUGGUAAAGAAACCCCCGGCUAACUCCGU